CAUUUUUUGAUGGACCAUCACACAGUAGAUUUAUAGAAAUGAGACUACGGAACAUCAGACAGAAGCAUCAACAGAGCCAGCAGAUGUACAGUUUGAAAUAUCAUCAGUGUACACAGCAACAUUCUUUGACAAGUCCAGAUGAAACUGUGCCAAGUGAGUGGUUGACCCUGAUAAAGAGGAUGCGACCAUCACCAGAGAAUUCAUCAUUCAAUAAAGACUGCAGUUGACCAAACCUUCAGUUACCAAAAGAGAUGGAUAACGACAAAAUCCCCAACUGUUGCUGAAAUCUUCAAGGAAUAUCCCGGAUUUCUUAACAUGCCAGCCUUGCAUUGAAGAUGGACAUAGAAUUUUCCAAGCUCACAGAUGGAAAAGAAAAUUUGUUCAUCCGGAAAUGGGAAGGGACCAUAAUUCCAAAGCUCAAGGAAGUAGCAUCCUUGGAGAAGAAAAAUGACAUCAAACACUUGCUGGAGAAAGCUAACAAUCAGCAUGAUGAUGAACUGUGUUAAACUAUGUUGAAGAUCCUCAUUCAUCUUCUUCCACCCACGGCAUCUGGGAGAAGUGUUGCUGGCAGUAAAUGCUGUGUGAACUCUGCAGUCUCAUACCUGUUAGAGCAAGUGCCGGCUGGUACCAACAUGACCUCCUUGCUCAGUGAAUCCAUGAAAGGCUCCCUCUAGGACAUGGAGCCCAGUAUGUAAUUGUGGCAAAGAAUGAUUCUUUUGGCCUUCCACUUGAUGUUGGAAGUCUGACCUGUUCUGUAGACAUCUGGCUGUGCAAUCUUCA
This is a long non-coding RNA of Carassius carassius (crucian carp), 780 nucleotides long. RefSeq lists it as uncharacterized. Lineage: Eukaryota; Metazoa; Chordata; Actinopteri; Cypriniformes; Cyprinidae. The record is from RefSeq and is a predicted model, not a curated record. The transcript is spliced from 4 exons.